This 460-nucleotide ribosomal RNA is filed under the name uncultured bacterium. RNAcentral's name for it is "partial 16S ribosomal RNA". It matches the Rfam family "Bacterial small subunit ribosomal RNA", at positions 338 to 795 of the family's 1533-position model. The record is from RNAcentral.
CCUACGGGAGGCAGCAGUGAGGAAUAUUGGUCAAUGGACGAGAGUCUGAACCAGCCAAGUAGCGUGAAGGAUGACUGCCCUAUGGGUUGUAAACUUCUUUUGUGCGGGAGCAAUAAGGGCCACGUGUGGCCCGCUGCGAGUACCGCACGAAUAAGCAUCGGCUAACUCCGUGCCAGCAGCCGCGGUAAUCCGGGGGAUGCGAGCGUUAUCCGGAUUUAUUGGGUUUAAAGGGUUCGUAGGCGGCGCUUCAGGUCAGCGGUGAAAUACCGGGGCUCAACCCCGGGGCUGCCGUUGAAACCGGAGCGCUAGAAUUCCGAUGCCGUCGGAGGAAUGUGUGGUGUAGCGGUGAAAUGCAUAGAUAUCACACAGAACACCGAUUGCGAAGGCAUCUGACGAAGCGGAGAUUGACGCUGAUGCACGAAAGCGUGGGUAUCGAACAGGAUUAGAUACCCGGGUAGUC